Molecule: non-coding RNA, 71 nt
Organism: Ameiurus melas (black bullhead)
Lineage: Eukaryota; Metazoa; Chordata; Actinopteri; Siluriformes; Ictaluridae
Source: the annotation of a GenBank genome assembly
AUUUGUAUAGUGCAGUGGUAACACGCAGAUUUAGUAUGCCAGUGGCUGGGGUUCGAGUCUCAUCUCAGUUU